AGAAUUUGAUCCUGGCUCAGAUUGAACGCUGGCGGCAUGCCUUACACAUGCAAGUCGAACGGCAGCACGGGGGCAACCCUGGUGGCGAGUGGCGAACGGGUGAGUAAUACAUCGGAACGUGUCCUGUAGUGGGGGAUAGCCCGGCGAAAGCCGGAUUAAUACCGCAUACGCUCUACGGAGGAAAGGGGGGGAUCUUAGGACCUCCCGCUACAGGGGCGGCCGAUGGCAGAUUAGCUAGUUGGUGGGGUAAAGGCCUACCAAGGCGACGAUCUGUAGCUGGUCUGAGAGGACGACCAGCCACACUGGGACUGAGACACGGCCCAGACUCCUACGGGAGGCAGCAGUGGGGAAUUUUGGACAAUGGGGGAAACCCUGAUCCAGCAAUGCCGCGUGUGUGAAGAAGGCCUUCGGGUUGUAAAGCACUUUUGUCCGGAAAGAAAACCUCUGGGUUAAUACCCCGGGGGGAUGACGGUACCGGAAGAAUAAGCACGGGAUAUCA
RNAcentral lists this ribosomal RNA (499 nucleotides) under Burkholderia sp. PMB3(2). RNAcentral's name for it is "bacterial SSU rRNA". It matches the Rfam family "Bacterial small subunit ribosomal RNA", at positions 8 to 502 of the family's 1533-position model. Lineage: Bacteria; Pseudomonadati; Pseudomonadota; Betaproteobacteria; Burkholderiales; Burkholderiaceae. The record is from RNAcentral.